UUUAAAUUACUACUGUGAGGCAGAGCUUAGAUAGGAAAAUUCAGAGCAUGUGCAUGGAUUGACUGGUCGUAUGUGUAUGUAUGAGAAGGAAAGAAAAUCCCAGGGACCCUAGUGGUUCCUUGCUUUUCAGCAUAUGGAAAAUUGCAUCAUCUGUUUGUUUUAUUGUGUGGAGUCCUGUAUCCCCUUUUUUGGUAGAAAGUACUAUCUUGUGCAUGAUAGGUGUUUUCGCUUGAUGUUUAAGUGUGUUUAAUUUGGGGGCAGAGUAAUUUCAAAUUAUUCAUCCUUAAUGGAACAGUUUAGGUGAAUAUCUACUCAUUUCACCAAAGUUUUUCACUAGUUUUUCACUAGUUUUUACUAGUCUUGGAUUAUUUAGAGAGAGGUGGUCUUAUCCAGAGCUGAUUCUAUGCAAAAUCAUGAAGUAGCAAAAGUUCAUCUUUGGCAUAUUAUUCUCUGUUUUGUACAGUCUCCUCCCAUCUUUCAUUAUAUCUUCUAGGUAUAGAAUUGCUUCAUGCUUCCCAAUUUUAUAACCCACCAACACUUGUCCUACUUUACACUUCCAUAUGUUUAAAACUUUUCCUGAUCCCUACUAUCCUGUAACAGGAUUUGUCCAUAAUAUACUUGGUGCCCUUGAGACCAUGCUAAUUGAUUACAUGACUAAUCUUAAGGGGGAAAAGAAGAAUUGAAGUAAAUUUUUGUGGCUAAUAAUGUGUCUCUAUUUACAGAUAAUAUUUGAUUUUAAUGGUAGUCAUAAAUGCUUAAGCAAAAAAGGGAGAAUAAGAAUUUUUUUUCAUUUAACAGCUGCUAAGACUAAGACUUUGUGGAGAAAAUAGAAAAUUAGAUUUAAAAACCUCAGUGUUUUGAUUUUUUUUUUUUCAUUUCCUCAUUGACUAGAGAUAAUUUGCUUGCCCUGAGUUUCAAUAAAGGCAUUUCCCUCUCAGCCCAGAAUGCCUGUUUGUAUACCUAUCUUAAUGUCAUCCUGGAAAUUCCUGAAACUGAAGUCAAAGCUAAUUGCUCAUAGAGAUCCAUCUAUCUCAUCUCUCUGUCAUGGUCCAUCUUUUAUUAUACUGUUAGUUUAUGUUCAUUGUUAGAAUUGCAUAUUCCUGGGAUGAAAAUGAGUGUAUGUCCUCUUUUAGAAGUGAGAGUGUUCACUGAAAAUGAGGUUAGGAGGGCUUUCCUUUAACCUCUGUUUCCUUUCUUCUCAGAACUCUUCCUAAAUUCCCUGGAACUCAUCCAAUGGAAGAUGGUACUAUUUGGGGGAGGUUAUUUAGUAUUCUUUCCACCUUCUCCUUUCUAUUAGGGAAGAUUUGAUACUUAGUACCAAUUACUCCCCCCUUCUAUUCUGAAUCCAUGGCUGGUAUUCAUUUCUCCCCAGCUAUAUCAGAAGCAAUCAGUAGUUCAAGAACAAUAUUAGAGUGAAUGAAACUCAUCUUGCACCAGUGGGGAUCUUAUCUAUACCUAACCAACAGCUAAGCAUAGUAAUGAAAUAGAAUGCCAUUCUGGGGUGGGGGGAGGGAGAGAUGCUUAGGCAGAAGGAUUACUGUCUGCUUCAUGAAUUGUUCUCCUGCUUUAGUAACCUUCUUAAUUUACUAGUUGUUCUUCCUAGGCAAUCAACAUAGCCUGUCCAUUAUCUGAGAUAGAAUGUGAAUUCUAUAAUAGUCAGUAUUGUGCUGUUUCUUUGUUUUGUCUUUGUAUUCCUAGAACCCUAGCAUAGUGCCUUGCACAUGAGAGGCACCUAAUAAAAGAUCAUUGAAUUGGAUUGGGUUGGAGAGUUCAUAGGAUAACAGAAUCAUUAGGGGUAAAGGUAUAAGGGAAUUGGAUAUCAACAUAUUCACUUUCUAGAACAAGAACCUGAUAUCUAGUGAAACCAAACAACUUUGCCAAGGUGGCCCACAAGUGCCAGGUAGAAGAGCUGAUAUUUAAAUGUUGUUAAGUCUUCUGACUAAAUCCAAUGUGCUUUUGCAUUCACAGUUCUUUUUCUCCUCUAGUUUUCUUCAACUAUAUAAACCAUUAUCAGGAAGAGGAAAUUAAUAUGCUCUCUUCAAUUCCUACUGAGAAUAUACCCAAGAAGAUAUGCUCAUAUGAGGAAAUCCAGGCAGCAGAAGAGUGAAGCAUGGUGGAGAGACUUGAGAUGAAGAUCCAUGGGGAAAAGAAGCAGACAUAGUUUCGCAAUUGGAAUGUAACUGUUGAUGGGCUACAUGGACAAAGUAAAUGAGAAAUUGAUCCCAAAAUAUGUUGAGAAAUAGAUCACAAGCUUAGGAGAGAUGUGUGAUAUGAUAGCAAGAAGAAACUUCAGCUGUUUUAAAAAAAAAGGCUGGCAUCAAAAGUCAAGAAGCUAUUGUUUCACUUCUCUUAAUGAUAAUUUACUUUUCAAAAGGUAGAGGAACCACAUGGGGAAAUUCUCUUCUGGAUCACAUUCUUACCAAUAUGUGAACUGUUUUCUGGCAUGUAAAAGAUGAAUUCUAGAUGGAGUGAGGGAGGAUAAGAGCAGGAGAAGAAAUGACUCCCUCUUUGAAUUUGUGUCAGAAGAGAAGAAAGCCAGAUUUUAGUUUUAUCUUUACCUUAGUUUUAGAGAUAGCAGAUUUUAAAGAGUUCAGAAGAAUGAAAGGAUUUCAUGAAAUAAAGUUUUUCAGUGGAAGUCAAUUAAUAGCAAUGGUAGUAUUUAAAGAAUGGGAUACUGAAGACACAAAGAAGUACUAUAUUAAACCUCAGAAUAAGUGGAGGUUGCUAACAAUUCCAGUGCCAACAGAAAAAGAUUAUUGAAUCAUAGCAUCAUAGAAUUGUCAGGGACUUUAGAAGACAACUAGUUGAAUAUGUAUCCUGGGCAGAAAACUUUUGCUUAAUCACUUCCAGUGCUGGAAUAGGUCACUGCCUGAAAAAAAGUGUCCCAAU
Non-coding RNA from Monodelphis domestica (gray short-tailed opossum), 2889 nucleotides. The record is from RefSeq and is a predicted model, not a curated record. NCBI's taxonomy places the organism in Eukaryota, Metazoa, Chordata, Mammalia, Didelphimorphia, Didelphidae.